UACGUAGGGGGCAAGCGUUGUCCGGAUUUAUUGGGCGUAAAGAGCGCGUAGGCGGCCAGACAGGUCCGUUGUGAAAACUCGAGGCUCAACCUCGAGACGCCGAUGGAAACCGUCUGGCUAGAGUCCGGAAGAGGAGAGUGGAAUUCCUGGUGUAGCGGUGAAAUGCGCAGAUAUCAGGAAGAACACCCGUGGCUAAGGCGGCUCGCUAGUACGGUACUGACGCUGAGACGCGAAAGCGUGGGGAGCGAACAGG
Molecule: ribosomal RNA, 253 nt
Filed under: uncultured bacterium
Lineage: Bacteria
Description: partial 16S ribosomal RNA
Rfam family: Bacterial small subunit ribosomal RNA
Source: RNAcentral